This 5956-nucleotide unclassified non-coding RNA is filed under the name Homalodisca vitripennis (glassy-winged sharpshooter). RNAcentral's name for it is "glutamate receptor ionotropic, kainate 2, transcript variant X3". Lineage: Eukaryota; Metazoa; Arthropoda; Insecta; Hemiptera; Cicadellidae. The record is from RNAcentral.
AUCAGCUAGGGGGAGGCUGUGUAGUUGCAAGCUCACCCGGUCGCUGACGCUGCUCGCUCCAUCGACUCGCGUUACACAGAUACUUCUCAACAUGGCUUUCUGAUUUUUAGCAAUGAUGUGGCUGCUGGUCUUGCUGGGGUUUUUGCCGCUUCUGGGAGCUCUGCCAGACGUAAUUAAAAUCGGUGGCCUGUUUCACCCGGCGGAUGACAAGCAAGAGGUGGCUUUCCGAUAUGCUGUGGAGAGGAUCAACGCUGACAGCACAGUCCUGCCGAGGUCUAGACUGUCUGCACAGGUGGAGAAGAUAUCUCCUCAAGACAGCUUCCAUGCUUCCAAGAGAGUGUGUCACCUUCUGCGAAGUGGAGUGGCAGCUAUAUUUGGCCCUCAGUCAGGCCAGACUGCCAGUCAUGUCCAGUCCAUCUGUGACACCAUGGAGAUACCUCACUUGGAGACUCGCUGGGACUACAGGUUGAGACGGGAAAGUUGCCUCGUCAACCUGUAUCCUCACCCCACCACACUCUCCAAGGCUUACGUAGACUUGGUGCAAGCCUGGGGAUGGAAGUCUUUCACAAUAAUCUAUGAAAACAAUGAAGGUUUGGUGAGACUGCAGGAGCUGCUGAAAGCACACGGACCUUCAGAGUUUCCGAUUGCCGUCAGACAGCUAGGAGAAGGAACUGACUACAGACCAUUGCUGAAACAGAUCAAAAACUCUGCUGAGUCACACAUUGUCCUUGAUUGCUCUACAGAGAAAAUAUACAAUGUACUGAAGCAAGCUCAGCAGAUUGGAAUGAUGAGUGACUACCACAGUUAUCUCAUCACCUCCCUGGACCUGCACAGUGUGGACUUGGAAGAGUUCAAGUACGGAGGAACCAACAUCACAGCACUGAGACUUGUGGACCCAGAGAAACCAGAUCUGCAGAAGGUGGUGAGGGACUGGACCAGUGGAGAGCAGAGACAGGGCCGCAAGAUAGACAUGGGUGCUCACCACACUGGGAAUCUCACUUUUAUAAAGACGGAGACAGCUCUGAUGUACGAUGCUGUGCACUUAUUCGCCAAGGCUCUCCACGACCUGGACAGCAGUCAGAGGAUCGACAUCAAACCUCUCAGCUGUGAUGCAGUCGACACCUGGCCCCAUGGCUACAGCCUCAUCAAUUACAUGAAAAUUGUGGAAAUGAGGGGAUUGACAGGUGUUAUAAAGUUUGAUAAUCAAGGCUUCAGGUCAAAUUUUGUACUUGACAUUGUGGAACUCACCAAGGAGGGACUGACUAAGAUCGGCACUUGGAACUCUACUGAAGGAGUGAACUUUACCAGAACUUAUGGUGAAGUGUACACUCAGAUUGUGGAGAGUUUGCAGAACAAGACUUUCAUCGUUACAACAAUUCUCAGUUCACCGUACUGCAUGAGGAAGGACUCCAGUGAGAAGCUGACAGGCAAUGCUCAGUUCGAAGGCUACAGCCUAGAUCUCAUCCAUGAGAUCUCUAAGAUUCUUGGAUUUAACUACACGUUCCGCCUGGUGCCGGACAACCGAUACGGUUCACUCAACCGAGAGACCAAGGAGUGGGACGGCAUGAUGAAGGAAUUAUUGGAUCAGCGAGCAGAUUUAGCCAUUGCAGAUCUGACAAUAACCUAUGAUAGAGAACAAGCAGUUGAUUUUACGAUGCCAUUUAUGAAUUUAGGUAUAAGCAUCUUAUACAGAAAACCGAUAAAGCAGCCACCAAACUUGUUCUCCUUCCUAUCACCGCUCUCCUUAGACGUCUGGAUAUACAUGGCCACUGCGUACCUGGGCGUUUCAGUGUUACUUUUUAUUCUGGCCAGGUUCACGCCGUAUGAAUGGCAGAACCCCCAUCCCUGCAACCCCAACCCGGAUCACCUGGAGAACCACUUCAGUCUUGCCAACUGUUUGUGGUUCGCCAUUGGCUCGCUCAUGCAGCAGAGUUGUGACUUUUUGCCCAAGGCGGUGUCGACUCGGAUGGUUGCAGGAAUGUGGUGGUUCUUCACACUUAUCAUGAUCUCCUCGUACACGGCCAACCUGGCUGCUUUCCUCACAGUAGAGAGGAUGGACUCUCCCAUCGAGAGUGCGGAGGACCUGGCCAAGCAGACCAAGAUCAAAUAUGGAGCUCUGAGAGGAGGUUCUACUGCUGCAUUUUUCCGGGAUUCAAACUUCUCAACCUACCAAAGGAUGUGGUCAUUCAUGGAGUCGGCACGACCGAGCGUGUUCACAUCAUCCAACGUGGAGGGUGUGGAGAGAGUGACUAAGGGAAAGGGCAGCUACGCCUUCCUCAUGGAGUCCACCAGCAUUGAGUAUGUCAUCGAGAGGAACUGUGACUUGACGCAGGUGGGAGGUCUACUGGACUCUAAGGGCUAUGGCAUUGCAAUGCCACCAAACUCACCAUACAGAACGGCCAUCAGUGGUGCAAUCUUGAAGUUACAAGAAGAAGGAAAACUCCACAUAUUAAAAACCAGAUGGUGGAAGGAAAAACGAGGAGGUGGCUCUUGCAGGGAUGACACCUCCAAGAGCAGCAGUGCAGCCAACGAGCUCGGGUUAGCUAACGUGGGUGGAGUGUUUGUCGUCCUGAUGGGUGGGAUGGGAGUGGCCUGCGUCAUUGCUGUCUGCGAGUUUGUCUGGAAAUCACGCAAGGUGGCAGUCGAGGAACGGGUGAGCAGUCCCCUUACUUGACCUCUAACCCCAGACUUGGGGGACACUCCCAACUGAGAACGCAAGCGUAGGUUGAUGUCUCUUCCACGUCAGAAACUAUUUUACAAUGAAGGUUUUAAAGCUCACAAAAUAAAACUAUAUUUUUUUAACAGAAUUUUUGUAUUUUUCAUAAAUGGCUACUCAAUUUCUGUUUCUUCCCAUCUUAAGAGGUUGUGAUUUUUUACAUUCACUUACAUUAAAUUUACUUUCAGGAGAGCUAUUGUUGCAAUCAAAUAAUUUUAAGAGUUAUAUAAUAUUUAAACCUGCUAAUUUACCUAAAUCACGAACUUUCCAAUUAUAUAGAUAGGUUUUUAUAUAAUUUUUAAUAAGCAGUAGUCUAUAAGCAAUUUAUUAUAAGGCCUACUUACUUGAUAGUUUUCAAGCUGUAAUGGCAAUGAGUUAAAUGUAUAACUGUUUAAUCUCGUCAAGACUUGAAACAGAAUUUUCUAGUCAGAAAUUAUCUGUCACAACUGGCACAUAUAUUUCACCCUCUGAACAUAGUAUUUAGUAAUUACAUUAAUAAAUUUUAUUAUUAAAUGGUGUAAAUAGUAUAAAAAAUACUUUAUAGCUAUUUCUUAAUACAAUGGUAUGAAACGUUUAGAAGAAUUAAUAAUCAAUAGUUAAAUUUUUAUAGAUUUUCAAUAUUAACAUUAAUUUUUAAUUAUUAAUUGAUAGAAGCAUUGUUAUAAUGUGGGCAGAUAAUCAAACUAAAAGUUUGUACAUGAAACAAAAGUUCUGUUCAAAUAUACCUUGCACUAUUUGAAUAGAGUGUAAUGUUUGAAAUCUCAUUGGACAAUAAACCAUUUCUUCUUAUUUUUCUUAACUUAAUGAUGUACAAAGUUCAUUUUAAAGCAGUAAAACUGUUAUUAUGAUGUUUUGUUACAAUAAUUUAUACUAUUCAAUGCCAAUUACAUGACUCUGGGCUGCUGGUUUUUGUACAAACAGUCAUUUGCAUUUUUAAUAUUACUGUAAAAUUAUUAUGAGUGGUAACUGUCUGGAACUGCAUAAGAAAUAAUAUUACACUUUUUUUAGGAAAUAAAACGAAUAUAAAUAUUACUUUCAUUUUUUCACUAUUACAAUGAUCAAAGUUUUAAAUGCUUAGUAAAUUUGGGUUUAAGUUAAAACUCUGAUCCUACAGUUGAUUACUUUAUAUCAAACCGUUCGCAUUCUUCCAAUAUUUUUGAUUAAAAAAUGUCGUUAAAGAAGAUAUUGUUUAUUUUUGUUGUAUUAUACAUAAAUUAGCUUUUCAACAGCUUUUUACAGUAAUAAUCUAGAAUUAUAACUUAUACACUAAUUGUUAUUCUAUAUUUACACCCUUAAAAAUAUAUCAAAAUUACUUUAUGUCAAAUAUUUAUUUGGCAUUACCAGUAUAGAAGUGGUCUUGACAGUGGGAUCAGCUUUUCAUAAAACUACAUAGAGAAUCUACAUCGAAAAACAAAGAUAAUUUUACUAAGGCUCCAUUUGCUCAACAUAGUAAGUAACCAACUUCUACAGCCACAUAGUAAACAACACAUCUGCAUCUUUACUAUCCUAAGUUAUUUUGAAAAAAAAACUACUUUUGUGAUAAAUAUUACAAUUAAUUAUUGAAUGUUAACCUUUAAGUGGUACUAUAAAGUAAUCACAAUCAAUUGUAUGUACAUAAGAAUAAAACGUUUAAUAAUCUUUCUCUGUAUACUGGAGUAAAUUUUUAUAAUAAAUAUUUGUGGUGGUUAAAAUUCAUAUGGCUGUUUAUAUUGAUGUGGUUAACUCAUAUUGUAAAAUAUUAUUGGUUUCCAGUCUAUUAUUAGGUAACUAUAAUACAAGUAGAGGUGGAUAAACAAUACACUGUAUUGUGACACAGAAGUAUAUUAGUACACUUGACUGGACGAAAUAUUUAGCUUUACUAUGCAAAAGUGUACCAGCAUGCAUGCAGCAGUAUAGAAAUUCAAUGCAAGCAGUCUAGUUCAUUGAUUAAUUCUGUCAGUAUAUUUACACUUGCAGAGUAACAUAGGUGUCUGAGGCUGAUAUGGUAAACCCUUGUGUCAUGACAUGACAGUUUGCUUAAAAGAGGGAAUAACACCCCAUAUGCUACACAAUUUGAAUUGUAAUUUACUUGGUUGAUCGUACUAAUGCAAGAGUGUGAUAAAAAUAAAUAGGACUUCUGUUUCCACAGCUAGUAUAUUGAUGUAUGGUGUCUAUGAAGGAAUACAAAUGACCGGAUUUCAGAUUUAAAGGAUACAUCUUAGUUGCAUACUAUAAACUAUGUACAAUAUACAAAAUAAGGUAGAAAGUUUCUCAAUUUUGUCACUAUUUUCCAUUUGGGGAGUAUAGUGGGGAUUCCAGGUACCUUGCCAAAAUCCAUUUUAAGCCUUUCAUUAGAAUUUAUUCAAAAGGCUUCAGCAAAAAGAGAUUCCCUAAUCUUUUUGAUUUUAAAAAUCCAUGAAAUAUGAUUUAUCAAUUUAUAGUGAAAUAUAGAUGAUCUUUAUAUUUGAAAACACUUUCCACUCGAGUUAGACAAUAUCCUAAAGAAAUAUUGUAUGUUUAAAAUAUUUUGUAAUGUCUUUUACCAAUUUUAAAUCUAUCUACAAAUGAUCAAGAUUAGUCAGAUUAUGCACAGGUCAAGAUUUGGAGUCUUAAUAGAAAGGUUGUCUUUUGUCCAUUUGUGUUCUGCACAAUUGGAGAUGAAAUCAUUACCUUAGUCACCGACUUGAUGGCAAGCACAAUAGAGCUUUGAAGAUAGCAUUGCAUCUGUCCCUCUCAGAUCUCUCCAUUAAAAUCCUAUAAAAAUUGCAACGGGAGGUUGCAAUUCCAUUUACUGUAGUUGAAAAUAGAAAUAAAAGUUUGGUUUAUAUAUAACUUAUCCCACAUAUCCAAAAACUUAUGCCCAAAAUUUGAUUGAUAACUCCUCUUUGGUGAUGUUUACACAAAUAACACAUUAUUAAAAACACUUCACCAUAACCUAUAAUCAUACCUAUAGGAUAAAACUGCAUCCUAAGUAAGCAUUUAACUUUGUUUGUUUGUUUUGUUAAGUACAAAAUCCCAAAAGUUGCAUGAGAUGAUUUCCAAAAUGAGGUUAUCCUAGUGUUACCGAUGACUGUGUGAGUGUAUUUGGACUUCUGUUUGUGCCACCUGGAUGUUAACCAGGAGACGUCUUUGUGUUCUGAAAUGGCAACUGAGUUAAGGUACGCAUUCUGUUGCCACGGGUCGACACGGCCUGCACGCAAGAAGCCUCCGAUAGGUCCCUCUCCUAGCAUGGAGCCUCCAAGGUUCAUGCCUCUAGGACCC